RNAcentral lists this long non-coding RNA (1173 nucleotides) under Anser cygnoides (Swan goose). Its description in RNAcentral is "lncRNA (ENSACDG00005001351.1)". The record is from RNAcentral. Lineage: Eukaryota; Metazoa; Chordata; Aves; Anseriformes; Anatidae.
ACUGUGACGUAAUCAUCUGGACUGUUUCUGCUUUAAAAAGAAGCUCUGAGCACCAAACAGCAGUGCAGGGCACUGGAGGAUGGACGAAAGCCUCUGGGCCCUUCGUUCCAAGGGAAACCCAGCAGGGAGAGUGCCUGGACCUGGUGGCAAGGGGCUGUGCCCCUGUGCCUGCUGGAUGCGGUGUGCAGGAUGCCUGAUGUCGGGUGCAGGAUGCUGGAUGCUGGAUGCGGGAUGCAGAAUGCAGGAAGGGGGAUGCAAGGUUUCUUCAUGGGACUGAGCUUCCGAAUGCAGAGCUGGGAAGGAUGAAAUAUAACACUAACCUUUAAGGCAUCUCCAGAAACUCAAAACGUGUCGCUGAUCAAAUGUCAAGAGCAGUGCUCUUAGAUACUUUAUCUAGGCUGUAUGAAUUGAAAAUCCAAGUGCUUUGCUACAUGUGUUAAUCGGUACGUAUCACUGAAUCAAAUCAUUAUGUAAUACGUAUGCCUUAUUCUCCCUGUUCUCCAUAUGCACAUUUCUAGGUGUUAUCAUUUUAAAAUGAAUGGCAUUUAUUUGAAAAUAUGAUGAGGGAUAUGUGCAUGACUGUAGUAUAUGGCUUUGGACUCAGUCAUCUGAGUGUGCAUGAAUAGAAAAAUGUCAAAGCUUCAUUUAAAAGUACUCUGAAACAUUUCUCUUGUGAGAACCCCUGAAUUAGUCAAUGCAGGGACCAGGAGCUACAUGCAGGGACCAGGAGACACAUGCAGGAUGUGCUUCAAGAGCCCCCAAGAAAGCUGAGCAGAGAGCAGUGCUGAGAGCCAGAACUCCUUUGGCACCAAUCUAUGCAGGGCUCAGAAAGGUCAGGGAAGAGAUUGUAUGACAUGCUGCCAGUCCCAGAAAAAUGAACUCAAUGGUCAGGAGGUGUCUGUGUUCCUGAAUGGCUGUAUCAAGCACAAGCGUAUGAUCAGAUUAACAGACCUUUUAUGGUCCUAACCAAGCAGACUGCGUGUGUGUGUACACUGAUCAUCAGCAUGGGCAUUUCCUUUGGCUUUCAGGGGCUACUUAAGUGCAUGAAGUUAAGCAAAGGUGUGACUGCAGUCUUCACAGGGGUUUUGCAAGGCCUCCGUUCCAAACCUGAGUUAAUGCAAUCGCGUCCUUGAGCCCACAUUGAAAUCGGAUCUUCAACUGCUUCUACAUGUU